AUGCAGCUGAUGAAUUCCAAAUAGGAUGAAACGCACAUCCUGCAU
RNAcentral lists this non-coding RNA (45 nucleotides) under Schistosoma margrebowiei. Lineage: Eukaryota; Metazoa; Platyhelminthes; Trematoda; Strigeidida; Schistosomatidae. The record is from RNAcentral.